Molecule: ribosomal RNA, 830 nt
Filed under: Pluteus rimosellus
Lineage: Eukaryota; Fungi; Basidiomycota; Agaricomycetes; Agaricales; Pluteaceae
Description: partial large subunit ribosomal RNA
Rfam family: Eukaryotic large subunit ribosomal RNA
Source: RNAcentral
AAGCGGGAAAAGCUCAAAUUUGAAAUCUGGCGGUCUCCGGCCGUCCGAGUUGUAAACUAGAGAAGUGCUAUCCGUGCUGGACCAUGUAUAAGUCUCCUGGAACGGAGCGUCACAGAGGGUGAGAAUCCCGUCUUUGACAUGGACUGCCAGUGCAUUGUGAUGCGCUUUCAAAGAGUCGAGUUGUUUGGGAAUGCAGCUCAAAAUGGGUGGUAAAUUCCAUCUAAAGCUAAAUAUUGGCGAGAGACCGAUAGCGAACAAGUACCGUGAGGGAAAGAUGAAAAGAACUUUGGAAAGAGAGUUAAACAGUACGUGAAAUUGUUGAAAGGGAAACGCUUGAAGUCAGUCGCAUUGGCUGGGAUCAACCUUGCCUUUGUGAGGUGUACUCCCUGGUCAAUGGGUCAGCAUCAGUUUUGACCGCCGGAAAAAGGUUAGGGGAAUGUGGCAUCUCUGGAUGUGUUAUAGCCCCUGAUUGUAUACGGUGGUUGGGACUGAGGAACUCAGCACGCCGCAAGGCCGGGUUUAACCACGUUCGUGCUUAGGAUGCUGGCGUAAUGGCUUUAAUCGACCCGUCUUGAAACACGGACCAAGGAGUCUAACAUGCCUGCGAGUGUUUGGGUGGUAAACCCAUGCGCGUAAUGAAAGUGAAAGUUGAGAUCUCUGUCAUGGAGAGCAUCGACGCCCGGACCAGACCUUCUGCGACGGAUCCGCGGUAGAGCAUGUAUGUUGGGACCCGAAAGAUGGUGAACUAUGCCUGAAUAGGGCGAAGCCAGAGGAAACUCUGGUGGAGGCUCGUAGCGAUUCUGACGUGCAAAUCGAUCGUCGAAUUUGGG